This 2621-nucleotide ribosomal RNA is filed under the name Escherichia coli. Its description in RNAcentral is "bacterial LSU rRNA". It matches the Rfam family "Bacterial large subunit ribosomal RNA". Lineage: Bacteria; Pseudomonadati; Pseudomonadota; Gammaproteobacteria; Enterobacterales; Enterobacteriaceae. The record is from RNAcentral.
AGCGUACACGGUGGAUGCCCUGGCAGUCAGAGGCGAUGAAGGACGUGCUAAUCUGCGAUAAGCGUCGGUAAGGUGAUAUGAACCGUUAUAACCGGCGAUUUCCGAAUGGGGAAACCCAGUGUGAUUCGUCACACUAUCAUUAACUGAAUCCAUAGGUUAAUGAGGCGAACCGGGGGAACUGAAACAUCUAAGUACCCCGAGGAAAAGAAAUCAACCGAGAUUCCCCCAGUAGCGGCGAGCGAACGGGGAGCAGCCCAGAGCCUGAAUCAGUGUGUGUGUUAGUGGAAGCGUCUGGAAAGGCGCGCGAUACAGGGUGACAGCCCCGUACACAAAAAUGCACAUACUGUGAGCUCGAUGAGUAGGGCGGGACACGUGGUAUCCUGUCUGAAUAUGGGGGGACCAUCCUCCAAGGCUAAAUACUCCUGACUGACCGAUAGUGAACCAGUACCGUGAGGGAAAGGCGAAAAGAACCCCGGCGAGGGGAGUGAAAAAGAACCUGAAACCGUGUACGUACAAGCAGUGGGAGCACGCUUAGGCGUGUGACUGCGUACCUUUUGUAUAAUGGGUCAGCGACUUAUAUUCUGUAGCAAGGUUAACCGAAUAGGGGAGCCGAAGGGAAACCGAGUCUUAACUGGGCGUUAAGUUGCAGGGUAUAGACCCGAAACCCGGUGAUCUAGCCAUGGGCAGGUUGAAGGUUGGGUAACACUAACUGGAGGACCGAACCGACUAAUGUUGAAAAAUUAGCGGAUGACUUGUGGCUGGGGGUGAAAGGCCAAUCAAACCGGGAGAUAGCUGGUUCUCCCCGAAAGCUAUUUAGGUAGCGCCUCGUGAAUUCAUCUCCGGGGGUAGAGCACUGUUUCGGCAAGGGGGUCAUCCCGACUUACCAACCCGAUGCAAACUGCGAAUACCGGAGAAUGUUAUCACGGGAGACACACGGCGGGUGCUAACGUCCGUCGUGAAGAGGGAAACAACCCAGACCGCCAGCUAAGGUCCCAAAGUCAUGGUUAAGUGGGAAACGAUGUGGGAAGGCCCAGACAGCCAGGAUGUUGGCUUAGAAGCAGCCAUCAUUUAAAGAAAGCGUAAUAGCUCACUGGUCGAGUCGGCCUGCGCGGAAGAUGUAACGGGGCUAAACCAUGCACCGAAGCUGCGGCAGCGACGCUUAUGCGUUGUUGGGUAGGGGAGCGUUCUGUAAGCCUGUGAAGGUGUACUGUGAGGUAUGCUGGAGGUAUCAGAAGUGCGAAUGCUGACAUAAGUAACGAUAAAGCGGGUGAAAAGCCCGCUCGCCGGAAGACCAAGGGUUCCUGUCCAACGUUAAUCGGGGCAGGGUGAGUCGACCCCUAAGGCGAGGCCGAAAGGCGUAGUCGAUGGGAAACAGGUUAAUAUUCCUGUACUUGGUGUUACUGCGAAGGGGGGACGGAGAAGGCUAUGUUGGCCGGGCGACGGUUGUCCCGGUUUAAGCGUGUAGGCUGGUUUUCCAGGCAAAUCCGGAAAAUCAAGGCUGAGGCGUGAUGACGAGGCACUACGGUGCUGAAGCAACAAAUGCCCUGCUUCCAGGAAAAGCCUCUAAGCAUCAGGUAACAUCAAAUCGUACCCCAAACCGACACAGGUGGUCAGGUAGAGAAUACCAAGGCGCUUGAGAGAACUCGGGUGAAGGAACUAGGCAAAAUGGUGCCGUAACUUCGGGAGAAGGCACGCUGAUAUGUAGGUGAAGCGACUUGCUCGUGGAGCUGAAAUCAGUCGAAGAUACCAGCUGGCUGCAACUGUUUAUUAAAAACACAGCACUGUGCAAACACGAAAGUGGACGUAUACGGUGUGACGCCUGCCCGGUGCCGGAAGGUUAAUUGAUGGGGUCAGCGCAAGCGAAGCUCUUGAUCGAAGCCCCGGUAAACGGCGGCCGUAACUAUAACGGUCCUAAGGUAGCGAAAUUCCUUGUCGGGUAAGUUCCGACCUGCACGAAUGGCGUAAUGAUGGCCAGGCUGUCUCCACCCGAGACUCAGUGAAAUUGAACUCGCUGUGAAGAUGCAGUGUACCCGCGGCAAGACGGAAAGACCCCGUGAACCUUUACUAUAGCUUGACACUGAACAUUGAGCCUUGAUGUGUAGGAUAGGUGGGAGGCUUUGAAGUGUGGACGCCAGUCUGCAUGGAGCCGACCUUGAAAUACCACCCUUUAAUGUUUGAUGUUCUAACGUUGACCCGUGAUCCGGGUUGCGGACAGUGUCUGGUGGGUAGUUUGACUGGGGCGGUCUCCUCCUAAAGAGUAACGGAGGAGCACGAAGGUUGGCUAAUCCUGGUCGGACAUCAGGAGGUUAGUGCAAUGGCAUAAGCCAGCUUGACUGCGAGCGUGACGGCGCGAGCAGGUGCGAAAGCAGGUCAUAGUGAUCCGGUGGUUCUGAAUGGAAGGGCCAUCGCUCAACGGAUAAAAGGUACUCCGGGGAUAACAGGCUGAUACCGCCCAAGAGUUCAUAUCGACGGCGGUGUUUGGCACCUCGAUGUCGGCUCAUCACAUCCUGGGGCUGAAGUAGGUCCCAAGGGUAUGGCUGUUCGCCAUUUAAAGUGGUACGCGAGCUGGGUUUAGAACGUCGUGAGACAGUUCGGUCCCUAUCUGCCGUGGGCGCUGGAGA